AUUAAUUUAAACACAACAUAAGGCGACUAACCCAUUUUAUCUGGCCUAAGGCUUGCCUAGGCGUUAUUUAAACCGUAAAAGAAGGUGGACAUGCAUAUUAGUUUCCAGUUUUUAAAUGGAGCUUGUUUACCAAAUUAGCGAAGCAUUCAACAGUUGCAAGCAAAAAAGCCCUAAGUACAGGAUAUCUAAUGCACACAAAGGUCCUAAGACAUGGUAUCUAAAUGCAAUGGUAAUGACAUUGAUUAUUAACUGAUUGUAAUUAUGAAAAUGUACAUAAUAACAGAUUGAGGGUAAGAGACCUAGGAACAGGAUUUCUACAUGCGAGAUGCAUGUCCUAAACAUGGUGUCUAUUGCACAAAUAAGUAAGUAAAGCCUUAUGAACAGGUUUUCUACCCAUUCCCUUAACUAAGAAUGCAUAACCCUCCAAAAUUCACUAUAUACGCCACUAUUCUAUACAAAUUAUUACAGCCCAAAUAAUUAAUAAUACAACAGUGAUAAAAAAUACGCAGCUAUUCUAUAGGGAGCUUACAGCCAGGCCCAAAACCUCCAACCUCACUUCUUUUGAGUUUUACAGCCUUUACCAAGGUUUGGGGUGCAGCAAAGUUCCCUAAGGGUUCAUUUAAACCCCUGGCCAAUACUAGACACCCAGAAUAUAUCAUUAUUGACAAGUGCACUUGUGGAAGUGUCAGCCUUGUGCAUCAAAGUUCAGUGGGUGCUCAAGGCUCCCAAGGCAAUGCUUACACUUAGGGGGCAGAACCUGAGUUCUAAGAGUAGUGAGAUUGUGACAGAGUUGAAAGCAGCUGAGAUACAGCUUGAGAGGAAAACAGUAAGAAAAGCUGAAAGAGUUCCUUUGAAAUUCAUUUGGACUGACCAGUUUCAAAACAAGAGGAUCACAUAAGCAAGGGAAAAGGGGAAGGGAACAAACAAGCAAGGAAACUACUCAUAUAUGAAACUACUCAUAUAUGUACAACAUAUCCAAGAAAGGGAAUCAGACAUGGCAAAUAAGGAGUCCUGCUCUUACUGCACCAAACUCCCAAACAAAAACAACCUCAGGAAGAGGUUUUAGGCUUAUCAAGCAGCCAAGCAGGUCCUAGAUACAUGCUAAUAGUGCACAAGGAAAAGGGAAACAGACAUUGAGACAGGGAAGGGGAUAGGGGAACUUGCUGAGUCAAAUUAGGCAGACUAAUAGGUACAUGCUAGUGGCAAUAAGAGCAACAGAACCAUAAGUAAAAGCACAUAAUAAACAAGGUGAAGUGAAAAACUAGUAGAAGCAUGUUGUUUUGGAAGUUGUAUCUUAAAUAGGUGACAUACCAGUUGCAGAUAAUAGAACAUAAUAGCAAUGAGCAAUAGUGCACAAAGGAGAGCAAAGUGUGUAGAGAGUGAGAGCAGUAGUUUGCAGAGAAUUAAGCAUCAGGCAAACCCAAAUAAACAAUACAGUAGAACCCCAGUAGUAGAAAUAAACAGCUAAGAAUACUCGAUCUUGGCUUUCAGCUGAUUGGGUGUUGUAUAGACACAAUAAAGAAAAAGAGAGAGAGCACUGGGUGUGUUUGAAAGAGAGUUCAGAGAGAUUGAACUCGUGUCUGUAUGUGUGUGAGAUAUGCAAUGUGUUGGUGUCUUAUGCAAAGAUAAUGGGGGUACUUAUAGUAUUGAAAAUGAGUAAACAAACAGGGCAACAAUCCAUAGUUAAGGAACUGGAUAUCAAUCAUAAUCAAAUUAGCAUAAGGACUCCCUUUUAAUUGAGGAAUCAAAGUCAAAUGGUAACAAGCAAAUGUUUUAAAAGGAAAGAAAUAAGUUAGACUACUGCAUCUAUCAUAGUAGGAGUAGUAAAGCAUGUAAUAUGUAAUAAGGUCUAAAUACAUAGUUUCAAGUAAGGAAAAUAUAUAUUGAAUACUUGAAAGCAUAUCCAUGCACAUAAAUAUGGUAAAAUAAAAAUUAACUCUGAAAAUUAGUCAAAGAAUCAUAGAUGAGACUAAAAUCACAAGGGAAUUAGUUCUAAGUAAGGAAAGCAUAUCACAAAUAAGGAAGUAAUUUAAAAAAAACAGUGUAAAAUUUCAAAGGAAAAACGCAUACAGAUUAAGGAUUUGCAGAGAUGCACAAAAUCAACAAGAUAUUAGGUAAACGAUGGACAAUCAUGAAAAUCAGAGAACCCUAAGUAAGAAAGUCAGACUCGACAGAAGUCGAAACCCUAGUAGAAAACUUAAAGCAUGGAACUCGGCGCAACCAGAAGAUAACACAGACAACACAUAACAUAAACAUAACCACAUAAUACUAAAGAAGAAUCAGAAAGUAUAGCGCUUUUUCAAAAGGGGUCAGAAACUCUAGUUUUGAAAAAGAGAAAAUUUGUUGGAAAACUUGAGUUAAUCGGAGAUACUGAGUGAGAAGUAGUUUAGAACACUAGAAAUCGUUCGAAAAGACAGAGACUAAAGAGAUUUAGGCAAAAAUUAGGGUUUUCAAAAUAAAUUGGGGAAAUGAGAAACCUGGACGUGAAACUUGUUAAUAACGCCAUAUAAGGCAUCAUCGGAGAAAACUCACUGGAGAAAGGCCGACAACAGACCUAAGCUUCAGAGACCGUCUUUCAUGGUGGAAGCUCCUAGGCUUCAAACUUUAGAGAGAAACAACGUGAUGAGGCUUCCAUGGUGACUAAAGAUCGAGAGAAGUGAGGGAGGAAUAUGGCCGGAGAGGCGACGAACUUCAUCGGAGAAGAAGGAGAGAAUCAGAAGGUUCUAGAGAGAAGGGAGAGCGUUUGUUAGAGAGAGAGACCGUCUGUGUGAAUGAUGUUUUGGG
This 2784-nucleotide long non-coding RNA is filed under the name Nicotiana benthamiana. RNAcentral describes it as "long non-coding RNA (NBEN_LNC037184)". Lineage: Eukaryota; Viridiplantae; Streptophyta; Magnoliopsida; Solanales; Solanaceae. The record is from RNAcentral.